UACGGGGGGGGCAAGCGUUGUUCGGAAUUACUGGGCGUAAAGGGCGCGUAGGCGGUUCGUUAAGUCCUGUGUGAAAUCCCCCGGCUCAACUGGGGAACUGCACAGGAAACUAGCGGGCUUGAGUUCGGGAGAGGGAAGCGGAGUUCCGGGUGUAGCGGUGAAAUGCGUAGAUAUCCGGAGGAACACCGGUGGCGAAGGCGGCUUCCUGGACCGACACUGACGCUGAGGCGCGAAAGCUAGGGGAGCAAACGGG
This 253-nucleotide ribosomal RNA is filed under the name uncultured bacterium. RNAcentral describes it as "partial 16S ribosomal RNA". It matches the Rfam family "Bacterial small subunit ribosomal RNA", at positions 524 to 776 of the family's 1533-position model. The record is from RNAcentral.